Long non-coding RNA from Triticum dicoccoides, 2598 nucleotides. RefSeq lists it as uncharacterized. The record is from RefSeq and is a predicted model, not a curated record. The transcript is spliced from 10 exons. NCBI's taxonomy places the organism in Eukaryota, Viridiplantae, Streptophyta, Magnoliopsida, Poales, Poaceae.
CCGCCGCCGCCCGGCCUCCUCCUUCCACCCCUCCGGCCGGCUCCUCUCCCGCCCGCGCCGCCUCCUCCUCCCCACCAGCGCCUCCCUCUCCUCCUUCCCCGCCGCCGCCCGGCCUUGGGGAAAGAUUUCGACUGCAUCCAGAGAGGGAAAGAUUUCGAGGGGGAGGAGAAGGGGAGAGCAGAGAAGCUUGGAGGGCGGCGGGCGGCGGCGAUGGACGGUGAGUGGUGGAGGAAGAAGUGGGUGGCGUGGGCGGCGGCGGCGGCGGCGGCCAUCUUCGUGGUGCUGCCCCCUCCCCCUCGCGCCGCCGCCCUCAGAGAAGCACCGCAACGGCUGCUGCUCCUUGUCGCCGCUCCUCACCCACCCACCGCGGCUGCCUCCUCCCUCGGAACCCUAGCCAACCGCACGCAACCCAUGGCGUCGCCCAGCUCGCCGCCCCUUCAAACCCUAGAUCCGCCCGUGCCUCCCUGCCCCGCCGCCGUGCAGUUCCUGCCCCUACCCCGUCGAGCGGCUCAUGGCGGUGCCGGAUCCGGUGUCGGGGUCGAGGCGCGCUGCCCGUGCGUGGGGAGAGGCACCCGGACCUGGUCCAAGACUUGCACCACGGCAUGCUCGUUUCCUUGAUGCGAUUCCGUCCGUCGUCCUACAGGUAAAUCUUCGAUCUACAGCUUCUCCUGCUUGGUCUCUCCUCUCGUAUUCGUCGUCGGGCCCGUGCUGAGGCUCCAAGGAUAUGCAGGAAUAAAGAUGGCAACUUUUGGGGGCAAUGUUAUUUUAAAGUCUGAUGAUUGUUAUGUGGUGCAAGAGGGUGUUGAGCUGAUAGGUAAUUGCAGGAGUCGAUGAUAUGUAUAUUCCAGCACCUUUACUCAAGCAUGUGCCGCUCAACAUGAUCUGUAGAACACUGAAUGGAUGCACAAGAAAAGGAAAAAGGCAGCAAGGAGGGAGAGGAUAUUUUUGUAAGGAGCUGUGGUACACAUGCAUAUUGAGCCUAGGUACACAGAUGACUCAUCAAUCGAAGCUUGGUACAGGUGAAAUUGUGAGUGUUUUCUACGCAACCAGAGAAAGCUUGCUCGUAAUUCAGUCAAGAAGGGGACGAUGAAGAGGAGGCCGUGAAUGUGUUGAUUCAGGAUCCAACUGUAUGAUCCACUGGGCGGGGGCGCUGGUACCUUCAACAGUAGCACAUCGGGGGACAAAGAAGAAGAUUGGGGCCGCCUGGACGAAGAUCGGGAGCUGCACCACCACUAGCAGAAGCAGCAGAGGCGGAGGAAGAUGGCAACAACAGAAGAGGCCGGAGUGGCGGAAGGGAGCGUGCCGGCGGCCGAAGCGGACGGCCCAGGCCCUGCGAGCGGCACAGGUAGGCGGCGGUGUUCACCUCUGUGGCAGCUGCGCAGGUGGGCGGCGGUGCUGGGUACGCGAGCAGGAUGACGAGGAGAUGCCGCCCAUCAGUCGUGGAGCCGCCGCCCGUUGAGUUGUUGCCGGAGAGGAGCAGGCGGGCGGCUGCGAAGCUUGCCUCCGUGUGCGCAGUUUGGCAACUGCAGGAUAUUGGAGCGACAUGGAUUUGCGAUGCCGGCACUGAUCUUCCCGCCGAGCUCACCCCUCGCCAUCGCCGGGAGGAGACACCACUGGUCAGAUACAUAGUCAGUAGAGCGGCCUGUCUGCCUCCAUACAGCCAUGAUGCGAGGCACGCAGGAGGUGCUGGAUUGGAUCAAGCGCAGAGGUGCGGGAUCGAGGCAAGGAGAUGCGCGAUCAAGCCACUCGAAGCGAGGGGAGACGGGGUCCGUGCCCGAGGCGAUUCUGCCUGACGCCAUGGUUCUUCUAGUGAAACUGCUCCGGUGAAGCUGUGUCACCGCCGGCACGUCCAUCACAACCACUACCGCUCAAGGUACAAGAAUUCACUUUGAUUGCAGAUCCCUACAGAAGUAAAUCCAUGGCUACUGGACUGUUGUGCGUGCUUCACCUUGGUUCGUCGAAGAUGUGUCCGCUGGCAUGCUGCUCCUUAUGCAGAUAAUGAGAAACAAUCUAAUGAUCUAUUUUACCACUAAUUACAAUGACAUGGUGUAAAUGCUGAUGCUUGAGCCUGUCGUAGAAUCUACUUGUGUUAAGUACCUGUACUAUGAUUUUAACCUACAAAAUGUGGAACAUACAAGCAUUACUACCAUGUAUCAUUUAGUUCUGUGUGUGUUUCAUAGUGAUCCAUUACUACUAUAUGUGUUUUCUUCUCCCACCUCUUUGAGAAAGUUGUUUCCAUAUCUGCUCCUGUUUUAUAUUUUACAGACUUUGAACUUGCUGGGGCUGGAACGGAAAUGGAACAGGCACAAGAGCUUGAGGUGUUUGCACCAAUUGCUUUCUUCACACAAGGCCAUGGCUUUGAUCAUCGUGGACGUCACCGACCACCUAUUCUAACUCUGGCAAGUACCCGAUGAUACAUGAUGCCACAAGCUCUUGUGAUGUACCAUGUAAACUACCGUGUGAUCUACCUUUUUUGUGAACACGGCCUCUUUGGCAUGUCUAUCCAUCCUUUUGUACUUAAUAUCUACCUUGUACAAAUAUUGCAUCCUUUAUUUUACCAUGUAUGAACAUUUGCAUCCUUUAAAUGUGUUUACUAUC